Molecule: long non-coding RNA, 867 nt
Organism: Megalobrama amblycephala (Wuchang bream)
Lineage: Eukaryota; Metazoa; Chordata; Actinopteri; Cypriniformes; Xenocyprididae
Exons: 2
Source: RefSeq, a predicted model, not a curated record
CGCAAUCAUCUGGAUCAACAUUCACAUUGCACAAUCUCUAUAUCCUAAUUUAUUGUUAAUGUUUCCAUAGUCAGCUGGAUCCCCUCCAAAUCCAGAUCAGAUGGUGGACCUGCAUCUUGGCAUGACCACGACGGAAGCCUAAAUGUCAACGAAGACCAUGUCAACUAGACAAGCCAGACAGAUCCCCUGUGAGAACUUCGUUGACAGCCAUCGGCAAAGAUCCUCAGCAAAGACCACAAGAACCAGACAAGUCCUCUGCACAGACCCCUAUGGCUAGCUUCAACUCUAUGCCGGCGUGUUGUAUCUUGAUCUUCAAACUGAUGGAACCAUAUGAAAUAUUCUAGAUUAUACCAAUCCACAAUCUGACUUGUGUUGCUGCCUGAAUCACAUCACACCAUAUUCGUUCAUUGGCCAGAGAAGAACUGGUCCCUGACUGAGCCUGGUUUCUCCCAAGGUUUUUUUUUUCUUCUCCAUUUUUGUAACCUGAUGGAUUUUGGGUUCCUUACCCCUGUUGCCUUUGGCUUGCUAAGUUUGGGACACUUAAUAUUCAGCAUUAAUAUUGAUUUGAUUGCACUGACACUAUCAUAUGAGAACUGAACUGAGCUGGACGAUGACAUCACUGUUUUUUGCAGAGCUGCUUUAUAACAAAUUGAACUGAUUUCAUAAUUGAUUAACUUUAUACAGCUAUUGAACAGAACUGAAUUAAAACAUACUGACUUCAGCUGAACAAUGACACUAUUUCUUUUAGAGCUGCUUUACAGCAGAAUUGAACUGGAAUAAUUGAAUCAUUCUCCUGUUUAUACCUGUAAAGCUGCUUUGAAACAGUCUAUAAAGUGUUAAAUUAAAGGUGACUUGACUUUUGAAAUA